This 774-nucleotide ribosomal RNA is filed under the name uncultured Neocallimastigales. Its description in RNAcentral is "partial large subunit ribosomal RNA". It matches the Rfam family "Eukaryotic large subunit ribosomal RNA", at positions 23 to 647 of the family's 3401-position model. Lineage: Eukaryota; Fungi; Neocallimastigomycota; Neocallimastigomycetes; Neocallimastigales. The record is from RNAcentral.
AGAGAGAGACAUGCGCGCAUAUCAAUAAGCGGAGGAAAAGAAACUAACAAGGAUUCCCCUAGUAACGGCGAGUGAAGCGGGAAGAGCUCAAAUUUGAAAUCUUAAAGGGUUUCCCUUUACGAAUUGUAGUUUAAAGAAGUGUUUUCUGUUGAGGUUUUGGUAAAAGUUCUUUGGAAUAGGACAUCAUAGAGGGUGAGAAUCCCGUAUUUGACCUUUACUUUCAACUUUGUGAUACACUUUCAAAGAGUCGGAUUGUUUGGGAAUGCAGUCCAAAAUGGGUGGUAAAUUUCAUCUAAAGCUAAAUAUUGGCGAGAGACCGAUAGCGAACAAGUACCGUGAGGGAAAGAUGAAAAGAACUUUGAAAAGAGAGUUAAACAGUACGUGAAAUUGUCAAAAGGGAAGCGUUUGACACCAGUGUUGUUUUUCUGAAAAUCAAUUAGAGAACUGUUUAUGCUAAGCUGUUUAGACUUUAUCAGCUAUCUGUUUAGUUUUGAGCUUUUCUUUAAUGCACUUUUCAGUUAACAAGUCAACAUCAAUUUCUUUUGCUGUAAAAAAGCUUGAGGAAGGUGGCUUGAGAUUCGUCUUAAGUGUUUAUAGCCUCUUGCCUAUGCAGUCGGAGAGAUUGAGGUCUGCAGCGUAGAUCCUUCGGGGCUAAAUGCAUUUGUGCUAAGUUAUAGCAUUUUAUAGACAACUUGUUGACUAUGAUUUGUCUUGUAGCUUACUCGCUUAUGUUAUUUUACCUACGCUUAGGAUGUUGACGCAUGAGAUAUACGC